RNAcentral lists this unclassified non-coding RNA (240 nucleotides) under soil metagenome. RNAcentral describes it as "partial contains 5.8S ribosomal RNA, internal transcribed spacer 2, and large subunit ribosomal RNA". The record is from RNAcentral.
AACAUCGCGCACCUGCGGGAACCUGCGGAAGGAUCAUUACAGAGUUGCAAAACUCCCUAAACCUUUGUGAACGUUACCUAAACCGUUGCUUCGGCGGGCGGCCCGGGUCCUUCCCGGCGCCCCUCGGCCCUCGCGGGCGCCCGCCGGAGGUAAACCAAACUAUUGCAUUGUAUGGCCUCUCUGAGUCUUCUGUACUGAAUAAGUCAAAACUUUCAACAACGGAUCUCAGAUCGGAAGAGC